AGUGAACGCUGGCGGUAGGCCUAACACAUGCGAGUCGAACGGCAGCACAGUAAGAGCUUGCUCUUACGGGUGGCGAGUGGCGGACGGGUGAGGAAUACAUCGGAAUCUACUUUUUCGUGGGGGAUAACGUAGGGAAACUUACGCUAAUACCGCAUACGACCUACGGGUGAAAGCAGGGGAUCUUCGGACCUUGCGCGAUUGAAUGAGCCGAUGUCGGAUUAGCUAGUUGGCGGGGUAAAGGCCCACCAAGGCGACGAUCCGUAGCUGGUCUGAGAGGAUGAUCAGCCACACUGGAACUGAGACACGGUCCAGACUCCUACGGGAGGCAGCAGUGGGGAAUAUUGGACAAUGGGCGCAAGCCUGAUCCAGCCAUACCGCGUGGGUGAAGAAGGCCUUCGGGUUGUAAAGCCCUUUUGUUGGGAAAGAAAAGCAGCAGGUUAAUACCCCGCUGUUCUGACGGUACCCAAAGAGUAAGCACCGGCUAACUUCGU
Molecule: ribosomal RNA, 491 nt
Filed under: uncultured bacterium
Lineage: Bacteria
Description: partial 16S ribosomal RNA
Rfam family: Bacterial small subunit ribosomal RNA
Source: RNAcentral